CCUACGGGUGGCAGCAGUGGGGAAUAUUGCGCAAUGGGCGAAAGCCUGACGCAGCGACGCCGCGUGAGGGAUGAAGGUCUUCGGAUCGUAAACCUCUGUCAGCAGGGAAGAACGGUCACUGUGCUAAUCAGCAGUGAAUUGACGGUACCUGCAAAGGAAGCACCGGCUAACUCCGUGCCAGCAGCCGCGGUAAUACGGAGGGUGCGAGCGUUAAUCGGAAUUACUGGGCGUAAAGCGCUCGUAGGCGGUAUGUCAAGUCAAGGGUGAAAUCCCCGGGCUCAACGUGGGAACUGCCUUUGAAACUGGCAAACUGGAGUGUGUGAGAGGAUGGUGGAAUUCCAGGUGUAGGAGUGAAAUGCGUAGAUAUCUGGAGGAACAUCAGUGGCGAAGGCGACUAUCUGGCACAUAACUGACGCUGAGGAGCGAAAGCGUGGGUAGCAAACAGGAUUAGAUACCCCAGUAGUC
RNAcentral lists this ribosomal RNA (465 nucleotides) under uncultured bacterium. RNAcentral describes it as "partial 16S ribosomal RNA". It matches the Rfam family "Bacterial small subunit ribosomal RNA", at positions 338 to 795 of the family's 1533-position model. The record is from RNAcentral.